ACACACAAAAAAGUCUUAAUUAUUCUUGUCACUCCCAUCUAGAGAAAGAAAGAGAAAGCCAUAAAAGAUCUUUACAUUUUGGAACAGAUGCAGAUUAACCUGGGGUGUUUCAGUGAGCAUCCUUAUGCAUGUGCUGGUUGUGAUUCCAUGCCAUGGUUGGAAGGGACCUUAAAGAUCACCCCGUGUUCUCCAUAACCACAGUCAAUCUCUGAGACCACCAGCAAAAUGCAGCAAGCCCUUCCUCUUGGUAGGAAGGAGCAAACUGUAGGGCUAAAUCAGCACACAAAAGGAAACCAAAAAAUCCUUCCCUGUGUCACACUGGGUUGGAUUCCGCCUGGUUUCCACCUGGGUUCCAUCAGGGCACAACCAGCACUGCUGGGGGGUGAGGGGGGGCUCACCCAGCCCUGCCCUGCCCCACACAUCACUGCUGCUGCCGAGACCCACGUCGUCCAGCCAGGAUUGGGUCAUACUCCAUUCCAAACGCGCCUCAUCAAACUUAAACCAGACACUGAUACUCUCUGCCAUUUACCUCUAUUCAGUGAUUACGUUCAAUUCUUUCCCAUUAAUGAUUAGUGGCUGCAUUAACAGUAAGUAGCUCUUCCUCAGAACUUUGGGUACCGGGUUAAGCUAACUGUAAAGGGAUUUUAACUUAAAAAUAUAUUUCAGCUUUAAAACCACACACUCGUUCAGCUAAAGACAGGACCCUGUAUCACUCAGCUGCUAUUUUUCAUUCGAUCAAGUGACAUACCUAACAGCACUGUGCACUGGUUUCCUAUGCUGCUAAAAGAUUCUUCACACAACAGGAGAGAACAUACUAGAAAACAGGGAAACACUGCAGAAAAGCCUCAGAAAACUGCAGAUAAACGCGAGGGCUUGGUUCUGAAAGAGAUUAUUUGAAAUGCUGGGAACUUACUGAUUUCCAAGGGGCGUUAUUUUUGCCCCCAAAACAGAACCAAAUUUUGAGAACUGGCAGAAGAAUCGGACUGUUUUAUAAGCACACUUCUUUCUGUAAAAUGUAUUUCAUCUUUCCCACUUUUGCUGAACCAAAUGCACCCCAAGCAAGGAUGAGAACAAGCCUUUGGAUACUACUGAGAUGGAUUUCCUUCUUCUGCACACAAGGGCUCCUUGCAUUCUUUAUUCUUUUGGACAGCCUCUCUGAACAGAGGACUGGAGAGCAGCAGGAGCCAAGAAAGCAACAAAGAAGAAUGAGGGACACAGAAAAAGGGAAGUCACAGGAAACCAAAAGGGUUGAGACAAAUAUGAAAGGGUCACUAUUUACUAACAAUAGAUACCUAACAUCAGAAAAUGGUGUUUGGGGUCCUUCUCAUAUUGUAUGAGGAAAAAAACCCAAAUCAAACAUCCAGCCCCAGCCAGCAAAGAAACAUUCAUGACCAAGAGGAUCAUAAACAUCAUUAAUGGUCCUGUUUAUGAUCAAGGAUAACGAGAUAGAUAUCUGGUAGAAUAAUAAUAUUAAAAAACAAACAAAAAUCUUCCCCUAUCAGUGAGAUGCUUUCCCAAGGGCUCCCAGAAACCAGCGUGCAAGGAGUCACAUAAGAGCGUGACACUGGACAACACAUGACAGAGCCCAAAAAGCACAGCACUGAUUCCAGUACACACAAGGGCAGCGAGCAGCUGAAGAAGGGCACACGAACACAUUUUCUCCCCAGCUGCAAUGCCAGUGUCUGAUCCACAACACGGUCAUGUCCCAUAAGCGCCUUCCAGAAUUGGAUUCCAGGACAAAUCUAUGACUCACCAAAUAUUAUGAGUAUUAUGACCCUGACCUUUGGUCUGGAACGGUACUGCCCAACAAAAGAACUCUUAAAAGGUCAUUUGCAGACAGUCCCAACUAAUGCUUAGAUAUAAAAUUUAACUACUGAUGGCUUCUUCCCCCUCAAGUAUAUAUCAUUUUGGUGUUUUUAAAUGAUAGAUUAAAAAACCCUUUAAAACACUCAAGUUCAGAGAAGGACAUUUUUAAUACUGUUUCUAAUGACACAAGGAGUUCACAUACUGCUUUAAUGCUAAGGAUAUCUCCACUAUUUAUUAAAUCCAACCAGCUGAAGAGAGCUGUGGACAAGAGAGCUUCCUGGUGAAAAGCAUGUUUUUAUGUUUUCAGAUGUCUGACACUUCAGAGAUCAAAGAGAACCUCAUCCUUACCCCACACAAGGUUAUUAACCUUUCCUGAACUGACAAAGAAAACAUUUAGAUCAGAACAACUCGGAUGUGAAUGAUUAACACAGAAUAUAAAACCUGAAUUUAAACAGAGAUGCACAACACAGUGACAGAGAAACAUCUCAAGUAGCUACAGUGUUCCAAAAGAAGCAGAGCAAGUCCAUGAUAAAUCUCCUGAAGAAAGAGGAGGAGUUUCACUCGAACUUGAAGAAGUUUCUGUACUUGGCAAAUCCAGCUCAUGCACCUCCAGGAACUCGGAACAGAUUUAACUUCAUCCUGGUGGCUUCAUGACCAGUGUUUGCUUAUUUUGCUAACGUGCCUAAUUGCGCAGCGGCAGAAACCAAAUACUGGAAGAGUACACAGUGACAAGAUACUUCACAUUCUGAAACACCAGCAGUCCAUGCCAGAAAGCAACAACACCAAUUAUAUUCAGCUUCAGCUUCCCCCCUGCUCUCCCAAAGCGAGCUAUCUUGCUGUAUCUGGUUUUAUUGUCAAAACAUCACACAGUGUGCAGUGGGCUGGUGUCAUAUCCUCCACUGCAAGUCCUGGGGGCUUUCAGGUUUUCUUUAAGUACAGAAUCCCAAACUGAAACAAAUGAACAAUGGGUGCUUCUCUUUUUAAGCAAUACAAAAUCAAAUCAGUGUAUUAUAUAAAAGAAACAACUUCCUUUUCAGUUCCAUCACACUGAACCCUUCCCCCACUCUGUAGGUACACUACAGGACUGAGGCCGCAACGAUGACAAUCGUAAAAGGUAUUUAAAGCAUUUCAUACGUAAACAUUAGGUGGAACUUCAAUACACCGUGUCAGAUGGCUCCUGUUUGACAGCUGUACUUCACGGCUUUAUUUUUAUACCAUGCCAAGGAGAAUUUAACUAUUGCCUUCGUAAACUUAGGAAGUCAAAUCACAAAGCCUGCUGCAAAAUUCUUUCAAAAGGAGUUACACCAAACAGCUGAGAAGGAACGGUUUCUUCUCUUAGUUUUACACAGAAAAUGCAGAGACUACAGUAACAAAACCACAGAGGAGAGUCUUCAAACAACACUCAGCAAUUCGGCUUGCUUAUUGGGGAAGCAAAUCCAAGCCCAGCAUCAGACACCUUUUCUCCCCCCAGAGUUAAGGUAUUUCACGUGCACCUGGGGCACAUCUCUGCGCCGCAGCCCCAGAGCCCGCAGUGCUGCGUGUGAGCACACAGGGACCGGGCUCCAUGGCCUGCACGCAGAGCUGCUCAGGCCCCAGCUGUGACACGAGAACCCCCUGCACGCGAGGCCGCAGCGGCCCACGGCACCAGCUCACCUCCAUCCACAGAGGCUCUCAGACUCCUAACACCACGUCUGGGAGACUGAAUCUGGAGCUCCCACCUGCACCGAGAGGCUUUGUGCUGUGGUGUGAGGGCAGCUGGGAGGAACUGGGAGGGAGA
Molecule: long non-coding RNA, 3583 nt
Organism: Numida meleagris (helmeted guineafowl)
Lineage: Eukaryota; Metazoa; Chordata; Aves; Galliformes; Numididae
Exons: 2
Source: RefSeq, a predicted model, not a curated record